CGCGUGCUGCUUGGGCUGGUGCCAGCUUGAUGCUGCUGCUGCUCAUGCCAUUUGCAAGCGCGCUGGUUGGGAAGCAGAGUAGCGCGUGUGGUGGUGCAGGUUGAUGCUCAAGUAGUGCUUGUUAACGGGAACAAUGUCGCAGAUACCAUUUCCAAUCUUGUUGCUCAGCACUAGAUACAGAUCCUCGUCGUCGGUGCCAGCAGGGGCUCCUUCAAUAGGACGUCCUCCAAAAUCUGUAAGGGUGUCCCCAGCUUUUGCACAGCGUAUGUUGUUUCAAAGGAUGAAUCGUCUUCGGUUUACAUUCCGGGAUCAAAGAUUGACGUGACCUCUGGCUCUGGGGUACCGAAAGGCAACUCCAGCAGCUCCAACACCGAAGUAUUUUCAGAGGAUUCGUCCCUGGUAUCAGAGUUGUAUGGAGUGUCGAGGACUUGUAGCUUGGGGUGGCCACAGGUUGCAGGCUAUCAUGAUGUGUUGGAUAUGUUCUUCAGAGAACAGGUGAUGUACUAACGACAGGUCCUGAAUUACACACUUCUAAAUUUUGAGGGAAUUCUUUUCUUUGUAAGCAUUCUUGACCCCCUGUUGAUUCUCAGUACUUAAUUUACUGCCGCAUGUCUUAGGCUCACGAUUUCAAACUAAGAACCAUUUUUGCUGAUGUAGGCAUUGCUCAGCCUUUGUUUCUGUUCCA
Lolium rigidum is the source of this 685-nucleotide long non-coding RNA. RefSeq lists it as uncharacterized. The record is from RefSeq and is a predicted model, not a curated record. NCBI's taxonomy places the organism in Eukaryota, Viridiplantae, Streptophyta, Magnoliopsida, Poales, Poaceae. The transcript has 4 exons.